GGUCUUGACAUCCUCUGACAACCCUAGAGAUAGGGCUUCCCCUUCGGGGGCAGAGUGACAGGUGGUGCAUGGUUGUCGUCAGCUCGUGUCGUGAGAUGUUGGGUUAAGUCCCGCAACGAGCGCAACCCUUGAUCUUAGUUGCCAGCAUUCAGUUGGGCACUCUAAGGUGACUGCCGGUGACAAACCGGAGGAAGGUGGGGAUGACGUCAAAUCAUCAUGCCCCUUAUGACCUGGGCUACACACGUGCUACAAUGGACAGAACAAAGGGUAGCGAGACCGCGAGGUUAAG
RNAcentral lists this ribosomal RNA (289 nucleotides) under Bacillus atrophaeus. Its description in RNAcentral is "partial 16S ribosomal RNA". It matches the Rfam family "Bacterial small subunit ribosomal RNA", at positions 977 to 1267 of the family's 1533-position model. Lineage: Bacteria; Bacillati; Bacillota; Bacilli; Caryophanales; Bacillaceae. The record is from RNAcentral.